UACGUAGGGUGCAAGCGUUGUCCGGAAGUAUUGGGCGUAAAGAGCUUGUAGGCGGUCUGUCGCGUCUGCUGUGAAAAUCCGGGGCUCAACCCCGGACUUGCAGUGGGUACGGGCAGACUAGAGUGUGGUAGGGGAGACUGGAAUUCCUGGUGUAGCGGUGAAAUGCGCAGAUAUCAGGAGGAACACCGAUGGCGAAGGCAGGUCUCUGGGCCACUACUGACGCUGAGAAGCGAAAGCAUGGGGAGCGAACAGG
This 253-nucleotide ribosomal RNA is filed under the name uncultured bacterium. RNAcentral describes it as "partial 16S ribosomal RNA". It matches the Rfam family "Bacterial small subunit ribosomal RNA", at positions 524 to 776 of the family's 1533-position model. The record is from RNAcentral.